AAAGAUGGCAGGAGGGGGCCGGGCAGUAGCGCAGCGGGUUAAGCGCAGGUGGCGCAAAGCACAAGGUCGGCAUAAGGAUCCCGGUUCGAGCCCCUGGCUCCCCACCUGCAGGGGAGUCGCUUCACAGGCGGUGAAGCAGGUCUGCAGAUGUCUGUCUUUCUCUGCCCCUCUCUGUCUUCCCCUCCUCUCUCCAUUUCUCUCUGUCCUAUCCAACAAUGACAACAUCAAUAACAAUAAUAACUACAACAACAAUGAAAAACAACAAGGACAACAAAA
Long non-coding RNA from Erinaceus europaeus (western European hedgehog), 276 nucleotides. RefSeq lists it as uncharacterized. The transcript is spliced from 2 exons. Lineage: Eukaryota; Metazoa; Chordata; Mammalia; Eulipotyphla; Erinaceidae. The record is from RefSeq and is a predicted model, not a curated record.